RNAcentral lists this ribosomal RNA (253 nucleotides) under uncultured bacterium. RNAcentral describes it as "partial 16S ribosomal RNA". It matches the Rfam family "Bacterial small subunit ribosomal RNA", at positions 524 to 776 of the family's 1533-position model. The record is from RNAcentral.
UACGUAGGGUGCAAGCGUUAAUCGGAAUUACUGGGCGUAAAGCGUGCGCAGGCGGUCGCGUAAGCCAGAUGUGAAAGCCCCGGGCUUAACCUGGGAAUUGCAUUUGGUACUGCGUGGCUAGAGUGCGGCAGAGGGAGGUGGAAUUCCUGGUGUGGCAGUGAAAUGCGUAGAUAUCAGGAGGAACACCGAUGGCGAAGGCAGCCUCCUGGGCCAGCACUGACGCUCAUGCACGAAAGCGUGGGGAGCAAACAGG